CCAUAGAUGACAUGCCGAGCUGCACCACCUAAGCGCAUUAUCGCGUAGGGUUUUGCAGCCGAUGCGCAAAAAAAGUGCGCAAAAGAAAAGGCUGGCCGUUAUUGAUGCAGUCUCUUCUCAGGGUAAAGAUGGAAACGCCUUUGCCUCCCAACCUGGAAAGGCAUCUAUGCAAAGACAAC
RNAcentral lists this non-coding RNA (179 nucleotides) under Simiduia agarivorans. RNAcentral's name for it is "MoCo sequence". It matches the Rfam family "Molybdenum/Tungsten riboswitch aptamer (Moco RNA motif)". RNAcentral also lists the same sequence under 1 other name. Lineage: Bacteria; Pseudomonadati; Pseudomonadota; Gammaproteobacteria; Cellvibrionales; Cellvibrionaceae. The record is from RNAcentral.